UACGUAGGCAGCGAGCGUUGUUCGGAGUUACUGGGCGUAAAGGGUGUGUAGGCGGUUGCUUAAGUUUGGUGGGAAAUCUCCCGGCUCAACCGGGAGGGUGCGCCGAAUACUGAGUGACUAGAGUGCGGGAGAGGAAAGUGGAAUUCCUGGUGUAGCGGUGAAAUGCGUAGAUAUCAGGAGGAACACCGGUGGUGUAGACGGCUUUCUGGACCGUAACUGACGCUGAGACACGAAAGCGUGGGUAGCAAACAGG
This 253-nucleotide ribosomal RNA is filed under the name uncultured bacterium. RNAcentral's name for it is "partial 16S ribosomal RNA". It matches the Rfam family "Bacterial small subunit ribosomal RNA", at positions 524 to 776 of the family's 1533-position model. The record is from RNAcentral.